UACGGAGGUGGCAAGCGUUACUCGGAUUCAUUGGGUGUAAAGGGCAGGUAGGUGUCCUGAAAAGUGAGAGGUGAAAUCCUACGGCUUAAUCGUAGAAUUGCCUUUCAAACUUUCGGGAUUGAGUGUGAGAGAGGAAAGCGGAACUCUCGGUGUAAGAGUGAAAUCUGUAGAUAUCGAGAGGAACACCGGUAGCGAAGGCGGCUUUCUGGAGCACUACUGACACUGAGCUGCGAAAGCUAGGGGAGCAAACAGG
This 253-nucleotide ribosomal RNA is filed under the name uncultured bacterium. RNAcentral's name for it is "partial 16S ribosomal RNA". It matches the Rfam family "Bacterial small subunit ribosomal RNA", at positions 524 to 776 of the family's 1533-position model. The record is from RNAcentral.